AGCCAACCUGCAAGUGAUCCUGGGAAAUGUAGCUUGCAAGGGUGAGCCUCUGUGACGCAGAGCAGAGAAGCUGCGGGGAUCUGAAAGCAAACAUGGUCUUUCCAGGACAUGCUCUGUGCUGGGAACUGGGGCGGAAAAAAUCAAACUGGACAAUCACAGCCCAAAGACACCCAUAAGCUAUACCAAUAGUUCCAGUGCAGUGUGCCGACUGCUUCCAAGGACCUAUAAAUAAGGUCCUUGAGGGAAUGCCUUCAUGUUUACCCUAUGUAUCCUUCAUGCCUGCAAAGCACAUGGCACAAAGUGGCACUCAGAAAAUUGGAAGAGGGUGGAGAAAGGAGGAAGACAGGCAAGAAGCAGCCAAGGUUAUAUUGCAUUUCACAAUCUACCCACAUAGCAUGACGAACUCGCCCUCAGGGAGAUGAUGUUUCCCUGGCAUUUUCCUAUCUCCGCCUGCUCCUAGAGGCCACUUCAGCAAGCUCUGAGAUUUCACUGCACACAACCAAUCCCUACCUUGCCAGGCUCCAGAAGGUACUUCUGCUUAUCUUUUUUUCUUGCAAAACACCCAGAUUAGCUUUCAAAAUUGCAGCUAAAUCUAAAGCAAAUGGCUUAUAAGAAAGGCAGAAGUGGGUCACAAAUAAUUAUACCUGAUUUGUCCCCAGCUGCCUCUACUCGCCACAUUCUCCAGUGCA
Molecule: long non-coding RNA, 689 nt
Filed under: Homo sapiens (human)
Lineage: Eukaryota; Metazoa; Chordata; Mammalia; Primates; Hominidae
Description: HSALNT0034386
Source: RNAcentral